AACACAUGCAAGUCGAACGGAGAUUUGGAAGUGACACCUUCGGGUGAAGCGACCGGAUCUGAGUGGCGGACGGGUGAGUAACACGUGAGUAACCUGCCUUUUUCCGGGGGAUAACAGCGGGAAACCGCUGCUAAUACCGCAUGAUCUGUCUGAAGGGCAUCCUUCGGACAGGAAAGGAGCAAUCCGGGAUUAGAUGGACUCGCGUCCGAUUAGUUAGUUGGCGGGGUAAUGGCCCACCAAGACCGCGAUCGGUAGCCGGACUGAGAGGUUGAACGGCCACAUUGGGACUGAGACACGGCCCAGACUCCUACGGGAGGCAUCAGUGGGGAAUAUUGGGCAAUGGGCGCAAGCCUGACCCAGCAACGCCGCGUGAAGGAUGAAGGCCCUCGGGUUGUUAACUUCUUU
This 405-nucleotide ribosomal RNA is filed under the name uncultured bacterium. RNAcentral's name for it is "bacterial SSU rRNA". It matches the Rfam family "Bacterial small subunit ribosomal RNA", at positions 50 to 436 of the family's 1533-position model. The record is from RNAcentral.